This 379-nucleotide ribosomal RNA is filed under the name uncultured bacterium. RNAcentral's name for it is "bacterial SSU rRNA". It matches the Rfam family "Bacterial small subunit ribosomal RNA", at positions 29 to 436 of the family's 1533-position model. The record is from RNAcentral.
ACGAACGCUGGCGGCAUGCCUAACACAUGCAAGUCGAACGAGACCUUCGGGUCUAGUGGCGCACGGGUGCGUAACGCGUGGGAAUCUGCCCUUUGGUUCGGAAUAACUUCGGGAAACUGAGGCUAAUACCGGAUGCGCACUUCAGUCGAAAGAUUUAUCGCCCAAGGAUGAGCCCGCGUAGGAUUAGCUAGUUGGUGAGGUAACGGCUCACCAAGGCGACGAUCCUUAGCUGGUCUGAGAGGAUGAUCAGCCACACUGGGACUGAGACACGGCCCAGACUCCUACGGGAGGCAGCAGUGGGGAAUAUUGGACAAUGGGCGAAAGCCUGAUCCAGCAAUGCCGCGUGAGUGAUGAAGGCCUUAGGGUUGUAAAGCUCUUU